CGGAGCGUGGCGCAGCCUGGUAGCGCAUUAGACUGGGGGUCUAAGGGUCGCAGGUUCAAAUCCUGUCGCUCCGACCA
This 77-nucleotide transfer RNA is filed under the name Alphaproteobacteria bacterium. RNAcentral's name for it is "tRNA-Pro". It matches the Rfam family "tRNA". Rfam says of the family: Transfer RNA (tRNA) molecules are approximately 80 nucleotides in length. Their secondary structure includes four short double-helical elements and three loops (D, anti-codon, and T loops). Further hydrogen bonds mediate the characteristic L-shaped molecular structure. tRNAs have two regions of fundamental functional importance: the anti-codon, which is responsible for specific mRNA codon recognition, and the 3' end, to which the tRNAs corresponding amino acid is attached (by aminoacyl-tRNA synthetases). tRNAs cope with the degeneracy of the genetic code in two manners: having more than one tRNA (with a specific anti-codon) for a particular amino acid; and 'wobble' base-pairing, i.e. permitting non-standard base-pairing at the 3rd anti-codon position. Lineage: Bacteria; Pseudomonadati; Pseudomonadota; Alphaproteobacteria. The record is from RNAcentral.